This 162-nucleotide non-coding RNA is filed under the name uncultured Limosilactobacillus sp. RNAcentral's name for it is "Lysine riboswitch". It matches the Rfam family "Lysine riboswitch aptamer". Rfam says of the family: Riboswitches are metabolite binding domains within certain messenger RNAs that serve as precision sensors for their corresponding targets. Allosteric rearrangement of mRNA structure is mediated by ligand binding, and this results in modulation of gene expression. The record is from RNAcentral. Lineage: Bacteria; Bacillati; Bacillota; Bacilli; Lactobacillales; Lactobacillaceae.
AUGAAGAGGUUGCAUCUCUUAUCAGUAGUCCGCAACAGGUGAAUGAGCACCGCACGGCGGGUGAAAGGAAGGGAUGCCGAAACAGAUUCCGGCUUAUUCCGACGAUCUGUUGGGUCAUGACUGAAGAAGUUAUGGACUGUCGCUAAAAUGCGGGGCGCUUCC